CCUUGGAUGAGACACCUCUGGCUUGCUGACCUGACGUGACUGAAGGCAUUAAUGCUUUCUGAGG
This 64-nucleotide small nucleolar RNA is filed under the name Euglena gracilis. RNAcentral's name for it is "Eg-m120 box C/D methylation-guide". Lineage: Eukaryota; Euglenozoa; Euglenophyceae; Euglenales; Euglenaceae. The record is from RNAcentral.